CUGACUCUUGAUUUUGGCUCAGGUCAUGGUCUCAGGGUUGUGCAAUCGAGCCCUGCAUUGGGCUCUGCACUCCCCAGGGAAUCUGUUUGAGAUUUUUCUCCCUCUUCUCUGCGCCUUCCCUUGCUCACAUACCUGAGCUCUCUUUCUCUAAAAUAAAUAAAUCUUAAAAAAAAAAAAUGCUACAGACUGAGGGGCUUAAAUAACAAAUGUUUAAUUUUCAGUUCUGGAGGCUGGGGAAGUUCAAGAUCAAGGCACUGACAGAUCCUGUGGAAGCACAGUCUUGGUGUCUUUUUGAUCCAGCAAAUAUGCAUCUAAAGCUUUCCUUCUCACACGAAGUCCAGAAGCUUUUUACAGUGCAGAAACCAAUCUAAGUUCCAUAACAACCAGCGAAGGAGAGAGGAACAGAACAAUUGGUGAGAAGAGAGGGUCGCAGUAUGGAAACAUUGAUGGAUCCCAAAACAGGAAUGGAUCAUUAAUAUUUCC
Molecule: long non-coding RNA, 483 nt
Filed under: Mustela putorius furo (domestic ferret)
Lineage: Eukaryota; Metazoa; Chordata; Mammalia; Carnivora; Mustelidae
Description: lncRNA (ENSMPUG00000027067.1)
Source: RNAcentral